GACGAACGCUGGCGGCGUGCUUAACACAUGCAAGUCGAACGGAAAGGCCCUGCUUUUGUGGGGUGCUCGAGUGGCGAACGGGUGAGUAACACGUGAGUAACCUGCCCUUGACUUUGGGAUAACUUCAGGAAACUGGGGCUAAUACCGGAUAGGAGCCCCUGCUCCAGGGUGGGGGUUGGAAAGUUUCGGCGGUUGGGGAUGGACUCGCGGCUUAUCAGCUUGUUGGUGGGGUAGUGGCUUACCAAGGCUUUGACGGGUAGCCGGCCUGAGAGGGUGACCGGCUACAUUGGGACUGGGGUACGGCCCAGACUCCUACGGGAGGCAGCAGUGGGGAAUAGUGCACAAUGGGCGGAAGCCUGAUGCAGCAACUCCGCGUGCGGGAUGACGGCCUUCGGGUUGUAAACCGCUUUCGCCUGUGACGAAGCGUGAGUGACGGUAAUGGGUAAAGAAGCACCGGCUAACUACGU
RNAcentral lists this ribosomal RNA (467 nucleotides) under uncultured bacterium. RNAcentral's name for it is "partial 16S ribosomal RNA". It matches the Rfam family "Bacterial small subunit ribosomal RNA", at positions 28 to 506 of the family's 1533-position model. The record is from RNAcentral.